GAUGAACGCUGGCGGCGUGCCUAAUACAUGCAAGUCGAGCGAACAGACGAGGAGCUUGCUCCUCUGACGUUAGCGGCGGACGGGUGAGUAACACGUGGAUAACCUACCUAUAAGACUGGGAUAACUUCGGGAAACCGGAGCUAAUACCGGAUAAUAUAUUGAACCGCAUGGUUCAAUAGUUAAAGACGGUUUUGCUGUCACUUAUAGAUGGAUCCGCGCCGCAUUAGCUAGUUGGUAAGGUAACGGCUUACCAAGGCAACGAUGCGUAGCCGACCUGAGAGGGUGAUCGGCCACACUGGAACUGAGACACGGUCCAGACUCCUACGGGAGGCAGCAGUAGGGAAUCUUCCGCAAUGGGCGAAAGCUUGACGGAGCAACGCCGCGUGAGUGAUGAAGGUCUUCGGAUCGUAAAACUCUGUUAUUAGGGAAGAACAAAUGUGUAAGUAACUAUGCACGUCUUGACGGUACCUAAUCAGAAAGCAACGGCUAACUACGUG
This 497-nucleotide ribosomal RNA is filed under the name uncultured bacterium. RNAcentral's name for it is "partial 16S ribosomal RNA". It matches the Rfam family "Bacterial small subunit ribosomal RNA", at positions 28 to 507 of the family's 1533-position model. The record is from RNAcentral.